GCCCCAGUUACUUUUCCUGUGCUAGCUGUGCUUUGCAUCCUUCUGCUGUAAUUUGUCAGAAAGCCGUAACUACUGUACAUGUCGAGUUCUAUGAAUGUUCCUAGCAAACGUGAAAUCUAGCAAUGGUCUUGGGGGCCUCCUGACAUUUUACCCUGAGCGUCAUUUGGGCAGCGGAUUUGUUUACAUAUUGACUAUCUGGAGCAUUGCUCAGGCAACCACUAGAGAAAAUGCCCCUAUAAAAUGAAGGAGUAAACCAUAAAAGGUAUGGACACAGGAAUUAGAGCUUCAACACAGCAAACAAUAUAGGGAAUUUCCAGGAUGCCAGCAAAGACCAGUCUUAAGCCAUGAAACAGAUCUACAGAGCAAUCAAAACUAAAUCAAGAAGCAUGAAGGCUCUAGGAAGGGUGCCUCAGGAAAAUAACCAAAUGAAUUGUCACAGAGAGAAAGCAAAGGAGAGGAUAUUAAUAUGUAUGCUACAGAUUUAAAUAAAAUGACCAUUGUAAUUUCUAAAAUAUUUUAUUUCUGUUUAAUAAAUUGAUC
This 540-nucleotide long non-coding RNA is filed under the name Heterocephalus glaber (naked mole-rat). RNAcentral describes it as "lncRNA (ENSHGLG00100040034.1)". The record is from RNAcentral. Lineage: Eukaryota; Metazoa; Chordata; Mammalia; Rodentia; Bathyergidae.